This 76-nucleotide transfer RNA is filed under the name Wolbachia endosymbiont of Laodelphax striatellus. Its description in RNAcentral is "Wolbachia endosymbiont of Laodelphax striatella tRNA-Ala". It matches the Rfam family "tRNA". Rfam says of the family: Transfer RNA (tRNA) molecules are approximately 80 nucleotides in length. Their secondary structure includes four short double-helical elements and three loops (D, anti-codon, and T loops). Further hydrogen bonds mediate the characteristic L-shaped molecular structure. tRNAs have two regions of fundamental functional importance: the anti-codon, which is responsible for specific mRNA codon recognition, and the 3' end, to which the tRNAs corresponding amino acid is attached (by aminoacyl-tRNA synthetases). tRNAs cope with the degeneracy of the genetic code in two manners: having more than one tRNA (with a specific anti-codon) for a particular amino acid; and 'wobble' base-pairing, i.e. permitting non-standard base-pairing at the 3rd anti-codon position. Lineage: Bacteria; Pseudomonadati; Pseudomonadota; Alphaproteobacteria; Rickettsiales; Anaplasmataceae. The record is from RNAcentral.
GGGGGCAUAGCUCAGCUGGUAGAGCAUCUGUUUUGCACGCAGAAAGUCAGCGGUUCGAUCCCGCUUGCCUCCACCA